This 403-nucleotide ribosomal RNA is filed under the name uncultured bacterium. RNAcentral's name for it is "bacterial SSU rRNA". It matches the Rfam family "Bacterial small subunit ribosomal RNA", at positions 355 to 775 of the family's 1533-position model. The record is from RNAcentral.
UGGGGAAUAUUGGACAAUGGGCGCAAGCCUGAUCCAGCCAUGCCGCGUGAGUGAUGAAGGCCUUAGGGUUGUAAAGCUCUUUCAGUGGGGAAGAUAAUGACGGUACCCACAGAAGAAGCCCCGGCUAACUUCGUGCCAGCAGCCGCGGUAAUACGAAGGGGGCUAGCGUUGUUCGGAUUUACUGGGCGUAAAGCGCACGUAGGCGGAUUGGUCAGUUAGGGGUGAAAUCCUGGAGCUCAACUCCAGAACUGCCUUUAAUACUGCCAGUCUCGAGUCCGGAAGAGGUAAGUGGAACUCCUAGUGUAGAGGUGGAAUUCGUAGAUAUUAGGAAGAACACCAGUGGCGAAGGCGGCUUACUGGUCCGGUACUGACGCUGAGGUGCGAAAGCGUGGGGAGCAAACAG